GGAGCCGUGGAGGGAACUUUCCCAGUCCCCGAGGCGGAUCCGGUGUUGCAUCCUUGGAGCGAGCUGAGAGCUCGAGUACAGAACCUGCUAAGGCCAUCAAACCUAUUGAUCGGAAGUCAGUCCAUCAGAUUUGCUCUGGGCCGGUGGUACCGAGUCUAAGCACUGCGGUGAAGGAGUUAGUAGAAAACAGUCUGGAUGCUGGUGCCACUAAUAUUGAUCUAAAGCUUAAGGACUAUGGAGUGGAUCUCAUUGAAGUUUCAGGCAAUGGAUGUGGGGUAGAAGAAGAAAACUUCGAAGGCUUAACUCUGAAACAUCACACAUCUAAGAUUCAAGAGUUUGCCGACCUACCUCAGGUUGAAACUUUUGGCUUUCGGGGGGAAGCUCUGAGCUCACUUUGUGCACUGAGGACUCCUAGAAGUACCCCACCCCACCCCUGCUCCUUGGAGGACAACGUGAUCACUGUAUUCAGCUCUGUCAAGAAUGGUCCAGGUUCUUCUAGAUGAUCUGCACAAAUGGCUCCUCUCCUCCUUCCUGAUGUCUGCCAUUAGCACUGGAAUAAAGUUCCUGCUGAAAAUCCACAUCUCCCCUGGGUCCGGUGUUCUGGAAGUGAGAGAGACAAUGUCACACCUCAAGGAGACAGCUCUCUAGACAGGAAGGUUAUUCACGUCCCAUGUCAAGUCUAGCUAGAGUUCAGAGCAAUUGAGAAGUGCGAUUUUAUCUCCUGCCUUUCAUUCUAUACCCUGCUUCUGAACCAUCGUGUUCAACUGUGAAACUCACGCUUUGGUGACCCUGACUCCAAAACUUAAUACACCCAAGGUCAGCCCCAGUGAUCUGCUUCAUAGCGAGGACUUUGGGUGGGUCUUCCCAGGGAGUAGGGCACCCUCAGAGAAUGUGGCUUUGGACUUCAUCACAGCUAGGGUCUUUUGUGUCACUUCAGAUCUAAACUUGUAACUGUGCUAGAUCUGUUUCUAAUGUGACAACAUCACAAACCACGAGUCCAGAAGCCUAAUCCAUAAUCCUACCUCCUCAUGACGAAGUCUCAUGCUCUGUGCUCAACAUGGUUAGCUGCACAAGAUGUAAACCAAAGCUUCACUGAACCCUCGACCCAAAUCGGUAACUCAAGUGCAUCAAUCAUAAAGAACCUCCCCGAACUCAGUAUUUAUGAUUAUUUUUGAGGCAGGGUCUCACUCUGUCGCCCCGGCUGGAGUGCAGUGGCAGGAUCAGGGCUCCCUGCAGCCCCGACCUCCCAGGCUCCAGCGAUCCUCCUGCCUCAGCCUCUUGAGUAGUUGGGAGUAGAGAUGCCUCCCACAUCGCCUGGCUAAUUUUUGUAUUUUUGUGGAGAGGGGAUAUCUCGCCACGUUGCCGAGGCUUGAAGCCAGAUCAAGCAAUUGGGUUCCUUGGAUUUCCGAAAUAGACCCCAAUAUUCUGCCUUUACCCCGGAGGAUGCAGAUGUACCUUCUCUCAGGCCGAUGACCUCAGGCCUCCACGGUCCCUGGAGCUCUAGGAAAGGUGGGCGCGAUCUCGCGCCCACACCCAGUGCUCUGGGUCAUAAGCCUGGAUCUGGAAAAACAAAUGCGCUUUGAGAAGACGGGGACUCCCCAGGAUACCCCUCUCUCCCCUCGUCCAGCCUCCAGCCCACCCGAUUCCUCCCCACAUCCUCCACCUCCCCAGGCCCCACCCACCUCCUCCAACUCCUCCGGGGAAACCCAAGCCCUGCAGCGCAUGGAACAGAAGAACUGGAACCGACGCUUCUGGAACAAGGCUAUCUGAGAGCAGUUCUUCCUGGCCCUCGGGUUCAUGGGACGGCAUAACUGGAACCAAUGCUUAGGGCGCAAGGGUAUGUGAGAGUGGGUCUUCCCGUACAGGAAGUAGAAGAUCUUUUGUUUGGGGGCCUCGUCGUCCUCCUCCAUGUCAUUGGCCAGAUAGCUGAGGACAGAAAUCAGGUUGCUGCUCAGGGGCACCACCAGGAGAGACCUCCGGCUGAGGUCAGCUUCCCAGAGAGGAAGGUAAGGGACCGUCCCUAGCUCAGGACUGGCACCCACCCUGCAGAGAGCCACGCCUUCCUCAGGAGGGCUCUGCUGGACAGAGACCUGAUCAAGGGCAUCUCCCACUCCUUCAGGAUGGAGACAAAAACCCAACUGGUGACCAAGAGUGGUGGCUUAGGCCUGGAAUCCCAGCACACUGGGAGGCCGAAGCAGGAGGAUCACUUGAGGCCAGGAGUUUGAGACAGGCCUGGGCAACAUAGCAAGACCCUUGUCUCUAUUAAAAAUAUAAAAAAUACGCCAGACGUGGUGGCUCAUGCCUGUAAUCCCAGCACUUUGGAAGGCUGAAGCAGGUGGAUUGCUUGAGACCAGGAGUUUGAGACCAGCCUGGCCAACACAGAGAAACCCCAUUUAUGCUAAAAAUACAAAAAUCAGCCUGGUGCGGUGGCACACCCAUUAGUCCUAGCUACUCAAGAGGCUGAAGCAUAAGAAUUGUGUGAACCCAGGAGGCGGAGGUUGCAGUGAGCCAAGAUUGGGCCCCUCCAUUCCAGCCUGAGAGACACAGCAACACUCUUGUCUUGAUAAAUAAAUAAAUAAAUAAAUAAAUAAAUAAAUAAAUAACUGUCCAGGUGUGGUGGCACAGCCCUGUAGUCGGAGCUAAUCAAGAGGCUGAGGUGGGAG
RNAcentral lists this long non-coding RNA (2663 nucleotides) under Homo sapiens (human). Its description in RNAcentral is "non-protein coding lnc-CASTOR3-3:4". The record is from RNAcentral. Lineage: Eukaryota; Metazoa; Chordata; Mammalia; Primates; Hominidae.